GAUGAACGCUGGCGGCGUGCCUAAUACAUGCAAGUCGAGCGAACAGACGAGGAGCUUGCUCCUCUGACGUUAGCGGCGGACGGGUGAGUAACACGUGGAUAACCUACCUAUAAGACUGGGAUAACUUCGGGAAACCGGAGCUAAUACCGGAUAAUAUAUUGAACCGCAUGGUUCAAUAGUGAAAGACGGUUUUGCUGUCACUUAUAGAUGGAUCCGCGCCGCAUUAGCUAGUUGGUAAGGUAACGGCUUACCAAGGCAACGAUGCGUAGCCGACCUGGGAGGGGGAUCGGCCACACUGGAACUGAGACACGGUCCAGACUCCUACGGGAAGCAGCAGUAGGUAAUCUUCGGCGAUGUGCGAAAGCCUGACGGAGCAACGCCGCGUGAGUGAUGAGGGUCUUCGGAUCGUAAAACUCUGUUAUGAGGGAAGAACAAAUGUGUAAGUAACUAUGCACGUCUUGACGGUACCUAAUCAGAAAGCCACGGCUAACUACGUG
RNAcentral lists this ribosomal RNA (497 nucleotides) under uncultured bacterium. RNAcentral describes it as "partial 16S ribosomal RNA". It matches the Rfam family "Bacterial small subunit ribosomal RNA", at positions 28 to 507 of the family's 1533-position model. The record is from RNAcentral.